CACGUAGGGGACGAGCGUUGUCCGGAUUCAUUGGGCGUAAAGCGCGCGUAGGCGGCUCGGAAAGUCGGGCGUGAAAUGCCGGGGCUCAACCCCGGGACUGCGUCCGAUAUUUCCGAGCUGGAGGUAGGUAGGGGAGAUCGGAAUUCCUGGUGUAGCGGUGAAAUGCGCAGAUAUCAGGAGGAACACCGGUGGCGAAGGCGGAUCUCUGGGCCUUACCUGACGCUGAGGCGCGAAAGCUAGGGGAGCGAACAGG
Molecule: ribosomal RNA, 253 nt
Filed under: uncultured bacterium
Lineage: Bacteria
Description: partial 16S ribosomal RNA
Rfam family: Bacterial small subunit ribosomal RNA
Source: RNAcentral